This 852-nucleotide ribosomal RNA is filed under the name uncultured bacterium. Its description in RNAcentral is "bacterial SSU rRNA". It matches the Rfam family "Bacterial small subunit ribosomal RNA", at positions 9 to 910 of the family's 1533-position model. The record is from RNAcentral.
GAGUUUGAUCAUGGCUCAGAACGUACGCUGGCGGCACGCCUAACACAUGCAAGUCGAACGAAGUAGCAAUACUUAGUGGCAGACGGGUGAGUAACAUGUAGGUAUCUGCCCUUUGGCCUGGAAUAACACGAGGAAACUUGUGCUAAUACCGGAUAAGUCUUUACGGAGAAAGCUUUAUGCACCAUUGGAUGAGCCUGCACUUGAUUAGUUUGUUGGUGGGGUAAUGGCCUACCAAGACUUUGAUCAAUAGCUGAUUUGAGAGGAUGAUCAGCCACAUUGGGACUGAGACACGGCCCAAACUCCUACGGGAGGCAGCAGUGGGGAAUCUUGCACAAUGGAGGAAACUCUGAUGCAGCGAUGCCGCGUGAGUGAGGAAGGCCCUUGGGUUGUAAAGCUCUUUCGUCGGGGAAGAAAAUGACUGUACCCGAAUAAGAAGGUCCGGCUGACUUCGUGCCAGCAGCCGCGGUAAUACGAAGGGACCUAGCGUAGUUCGGAAUUACUGGGCUUAAAGAGUUCGUAGGUGGUUGAAAAAGUUGGUGGUGAAAUCCCAGAGCUUAACUCUGGAGCUGCCAUCAAAACUUUUCAGCUAGAGUUUGAUAGAGGAAAGCAGAAUUUCUAGUGUAGAGGUGAAAUUCGUAGAUAUUAGAAAGAAUACCAAUUGCGAAGGCAGCUUUCUGGAUCAUUACUGACACUGAGGAACGAAAGCAUGGGUAGCGAAGAGGAUUAGAUACCCUCGUAGUCCAUGCCGUAAACGAUGUGUGUUAGACGUUGGAAAUUUAUUUUCAGGUCGCAGCGAAAGCGAUAAACACACCGCCUGGGGAGUACGACCGCAAGGUUAAAACUCAAAUGAAU